This is a long non-coding RNA of Gallus gallus (chicken), 444 nucleotides long. The record is from Ensembl. NCBI's taxonomy places the organism in Eukaryota, Metazoa, Chordata, Aves, Galliformes, Phasianidae.
AUUUUAUGAUGCUGUAUUGCAUGUAUGUAAGCACUUGAAAGUACGCUUGCAGAUGUAUAGGUACGGUGAAGCCCACACUCCUUGCUUAGAGCAGGGGGUUGGACCCUCACCUUGAACACACUGUUGAUGAAAUUUGCUGCUGAUGAGGGACAGAACCCACAGACUCUGUCGAAGACUGACUGUUCCUGUGGCUUUGCUUGCCCGGUGUGGAGGUGAAGGGAGUGUGAGCUGCAUCUUAUGGAAAGCAUGCACAUGCACAUUGGGCGCCUCUUGCAGCCAUGUGUUUUCUUGCAGAACAACAAUGAGAUGAAGAUGGGGCAUUAAGAUUUGAAGGCCUCUUCGUAGACUUGAAGUAAAUUUUGCCCUUUGGUGUUUGCCGAACUGGGGAAACUCAGCAUCUUUCAGUUCUGAGCCUUGGAAUGGAGCUAAAACAGUUGGAAAAUG